UGCCUAAUACAUGCAAGUCGAGCGAGUCUGCCUUGAAGAUCGGAGUGCUUGCACUCUGUGAAACAAGAUACAGGCUAGCGGCGGACGGGUGAGUAACACGUGGGUAACCUGCCCAAGAGAUCGGGAUAACACCUGGAAACAGAUGCUAAUACCGGAUAACAACAGAUGAUGCCUAUCAACUGUUUAAAAGAUGGUUCUGCUAUCACUCUUGGAUGGACCUGCGGUGCAUUAGCUAGUUGGUAGGGUAACGGCCUACCAAGGCGAUGAUGCAUAGCCGAGUUGAGAGACUGAUCGGCCACAUUGGGACUGAGACACGGCCCAAACUCCUACGGGAGGCAGCAGUAGGGAAUCUUCCACAAUGGACGCAAGUCUGAUGGAGCAACGCCGCGUGAGUGAAGAAGGGUUUCGGCUCGUAAAGCUCUGUUGUUGGUGAAGAAGGACAGGGGUAGUAACUGACCUUUGUUUGACGGUCAUCAAUUAGAAAGU
Molecule: ribosomal RNA, 486 nt
Filed under: uncultured Lactobacillaceae bacterium
Lineage: Bacteria; Bacillati; Bacillota; Bacilli; Lactobacillales; Lactobacillaceae
Description: bacterial SSU rRNA
Rfam family: Bacterial small subunit ribosomal RNA
Source: RNAcentral